This is a long non-coding RNA of Vespula pensylvanica (western yellowjacket), 1212 nucleotides long. RefSeq lists it as uncharacterized. The record is from RefSeq and is a predicted model, not a curated record. Lineage: Eukaryota; Metazoa; Arthropoda; Insecta; Hymenoptera; Vespidae. The transcript has 5 exons.
GACGUUCUGUCUCUACGAACGAAGCAGCGUUCCUCCCUUUUGUUUUAUUUUCUAACAAAAUGUCGACGUUAACGUUAGUGUGGCGCGCGCUUCGAUUUUACCGACGUUACCGACCGGCCGAUAAAAAUGAACGAACGAAACGAGUUUUUCAAGGCAUCAUCUUCCGCGGUGAUAACCAUUUCUUCAUGUAGUAGCAAAAGAUCGUGGAGAUGUAGAUAAGAACCAGAAGAGCACACGUGACUCCCAAUGCAAGUACCGACGUCUUUGUCGGGCAUGGUUCUACGAUGGUUACGGUUUUGUCUUUACAAAAAGGAAAAGGAAGAAUGAAAAAUGGUUUCAGUGAACAUUAAUCCGACGUACAAAUAGAUUGUAAAUCUUUCUUAUGGCUUUUACCUGCUUCAUUGAAGUCUAUGCUGGCAUCGCUUUUAAGGAAGUCCGAUUGUUUUUCAUCACCGAAAUCCAAGACUAAGAUCUCCUGAGAAAGAGUCAUAUCCUCAGCUUUCUCUUCGGUAGUAUUCAUGACAUUCCUUCGACGUCUUUUGCCCCACGAUUCAACGGAUUCACGUCCCCACUCGCAAACAGCCUGUCAACGAGCAACACGAAACGCUGUUAAACUUUUUCCCCCUUUCGAGUUUCGGCACGCAAGUUUUUAUUACCGGUUCGCAUGGUCCGAGACAGUACUUGACGUUACAUUGGAAGAUGACACCAUAAGAUUCCGUGAACCUGAAGGCUUCGUAGACCGAUUGAAGGGCGUUACCGUCUGGCGUGAAGCUCGGGAAUAUGGAGGGAUCCACUGGACAUCUAAAAUUACAUCGUUCCGUGAGAUCCCUUUUAGAUAGAUCAGUUUCGAUCGAGCAAAAAAUACUAACCCUUCGUCGUCGAUUAUUUGGAAGGUGCUCUUAGAGUCCUUGGCCAUAGCAACGCAGCUGCGAGCAAAGAUUCCGUAAGGUAUUUCGAUCCUAAACGUCAAUUUGUCUCCGAUUCUUACGGUUUCCACUUCUCUUGAUCUGCUGUCGAGAAUACGUAUCCUUGGUGGUGGUGCCUCGGGCGCACUAGUGAUGCUAAUCAUUUCCGGAUCUCUGAUUGGCAUCAUCCCGAAAGUGAUGUUCUUCGAUGACAUAUCAUGCCAGUCUGAAAACCGUCACGCUGCCAUGAUGAACAGAGAGUUUGAGGAAAAUUUUGGGACACGAAAUUAAAUUUCCGUGAGAUUUA